RNAcentral lists this ribosomal RNA (443 nucleotides) under uncultured bacterium. RNAcentral's name for it is "partial 16S ribosomal RNA". It matches the Rfam family "Bacterial small subunit ribosomal RNA", at positions 338 to 795 of the family's 1533-position model. The record is from RNAcentral.
CCUACGGGAGGUAGCAGUGGGGAAUAUUGGGCAAUGGGCGCAAGCCUGACCCAGCAACGCCGCGUGAAGGAAGAAGGCUUUCGGGUUGUAAACUUCUUUUAUCAGGGACGAAGCAAGAGACGGUACCUGAUGAAUAAGGCACGGCUAACUACGUGCCAGCCUCCGCGGUAAUACGUAGGUGGCAAGAGUUAUCCGGAUUUACUGGGGGUAAAGGGCGUGUAGGCGGGAGUGUAAGUCAGAUGUGAAAACUAUGGGCUCAACCCAUAGCCUGCAUUUGAAACUGGACUUCUUGAGUGCUGGAGAGGCAAUCGGAAUUCGGUGUGUAGCGGUGAAAUGCGUAGAUAUACGGAGGAACACCAGUGGCGAAGGCAGAUUGCUGGACAGUAACUGACGCUGAGGCGCGAAAGCGUGGGGAGCAAACAGGAUUAGAUACCCCGGUAGUC